This 505-nucleotide ribosomal RNA is filed under the name uncultured bacterium. RNAcentral's name for it is "bacterial SSU rRNA". It matches the Rfam family "Bacterial small subunit ribosomal RNA", at positions 15 to 507 of the family's 1533-position model. The record is from RNAcentral.
GAUCAUGGCUCAGGAUGAACGCUAGCUACAGGCUUAACACAUGCAAGUCGAGGGGAAACGAUAUUGGAAGCUUGCUUCCGAUAGGCGUCGACCGGCGCACGGGUGAGUAACGCGUAUCCAACCUGCCCGUCACUUGGGAAUAACCUUGCGAAAGUAAGACUAAUGCCCAAUGACAUUUAUAGAAGGCAUCUGAAAUGAAUUAAAGAUUUAUCGGUGAUGGAUGGGGAUGCGUCUGAUUAGCUUGUUGGCGGGGUAACGGCCCACCAAGGCGACGAUCAGUAGGGGUUCUGAGAGGAAGGUCCCCCACAUUGGAACUGAGACACGGUCCAAACUCCUACGGGAGGCAGCAGUGAGGAAUAUUGGUCAAUGGGCGAGAGCCUGAACCAGCCAAGUAGCGUGCAGGAAGACGGCCCUAUGGGUUGUAAACUGCUUUUAUAGGGGAAUAAAGUGAGCCACGUGUGGUUUUUUGCAUGUACCCUAUGAAUAAGGACCGGCUAAUUCCGUG